GUCCACUCUCUCCACUGGCGUGCCACUGAUGAUGAGGGGUUUGUAAUUCCUUGCCUGCUUUGUAGUGAAGUAGGUGUAGGUGCUCUCUCUCCCUCUCUGCGGGGCUGACUGGAGGACAAGAGACAGUUGCCAUGGUGAAGUGGGAAGAGUGGUCUUCAUAUGGCCACAGGGGGCGGAGAUGAGCCGAGACCCAGUUUGACCCAGUUAACCAAUCACAUUAAGAUUGCUUACAGCCUGGGGGUGGCGCUCUUUGUCCCUGCUGAGCUGAGGAACAGACACUCCAACCUUUAACAGCUUAAUAGGUUUAACAGAAGAUCGUGUCUUCUCUCAUGAAAGAACCAACAAACUGGUGCCGACAAAGACCAUCGACUGGAUAAAGAGAACCGAGGCGGCUCAAAUGGAAAGGCAGGAACCAUUUGGUGUUGUUAACGCUUCCGUUUGGUUAAAAAUCCCGCCACGAGCGACCGAUCGGCGGCUGUCAGAGAAUCCUUAACAGUCGGAGUAAUUAAAAAAGGAAAUAGUUGUUUCGUGAUGUCACCUUUGUGUUGGUGUGAAAGUCCAAUCGAGGAAUUGAUUUUCCCAUUCAGACAGACUGGGAUUACCCACAAUGCACCUCUGUGAUAUUCUGCAUAUUUAUAGUUGAGCUGUUGGUAUAUAUUCGCACUAUCUUUGUAACAUGUUGUGUUAUUUCGGUUCAUGUCGUUCAGUGUGGCUGUUAUUGCUGCCGUGGAGCGACGGCGAGCACACAGGGCUGUAAAUGUGACUUCUGUUUGAACACAUUCGGCUCGUCGCACUUCAGUGAACUACCGCCAGCUCUUGGUAGGCCUGAGCUAAAGGACGAUCUGGCUCCAUCCGGUGGAAGAAAGUGAUACUGCACCCCGGGGGACGCAGGCUUCAAGCUCGUGUCCUCUACCAGAGGCCAGGGAGCCUGAGGGUCCUGCAGUAUCUCAGCUGUUCCUAGGACUGCGCUCUUCUGGACAGAGAUCUCCGAUGUUGUUCCUGCGAUCUGCUGGAGCCACUCACCUGGCUCAGGAGUCACCACACUGGGACCAUUGCUACCUUCACCCUCCAGCUCUUCUCUGAGCACUUGGUUCUUCUGCAGCUUCUCAUAUUCCUUCUUCCUGAUGUUGGUAUCACUACAGCCGUCUUCCUGUGCUUCUCCACCACCACUACGUCCGGUUGGUUAGCCAUCACCAGCUUGUCUGUCUGUAUCUGGAAGUCCCACAGGAUCUUAGCUAACUACCACCCGGGGGGCGUCUCCAUCCCUGCACCUGUGGUCUUGCCCGGUCUGACAGACCCCAGCUUCGUGGAUCUUGAGCUCAGAGCUGCCAUGAUUACUGCCUCUGUCAGUGUUUCUCUUAAACAGCUCAACUGUCUGAUGGAGGUGCAUGCUGUUACUGAAACAGUGAAGCCCUCUGUUUGUCACAGAUCAUUUCAAUCAGAUUAUAAUGCAUUACCUUUACUGUUGUGAUUUGGUAACAUGACUGUUUAUGUGCCGGAGGGUGGACAGCCUCACGCCAGCUCAUUAGCGGCCGUGUCAUUCAGCGUUCAUGAACCACUUGCUUUUGAAAAUGUGUGAAAAUAUGAAAUGUGUAAGUCUGAUAAAAAUCUUUUUAAGCUCCGAUGUUUCUGAAAAAUGAUGUCAAAUGUUUUUUCAUGAUGUUGAAAGGCUGGAGUGGUAUGUUAACGAGGUCGUAUUUUCCCUCGUGGAUGUUCUUCCUGGCUGAUUUGAUUGGUAAUCGUUCAUGUUUGUUUACUCGGACACAUGGGAUCAAACUCUGUUAAUGAAUUUAUGCUUUACGAUGUACGGAGCGGUCCUUGGUGGCAGGUGUCAGAACUUCCACCACCACCAUCAUCAUCAUCACCCGGUUGCAAAACAGACAGACGCACACAUGGAGGUCAAAGUAGACGGGCAGCUGGAGCCAAUCGGGAGCUUCACGCUCAUCAGCAUCAGCCUGGACCUCGACACAGGUGACGGCCCGACAGCGAUGUGUGACCAGUAAAAUGGUAAAUGGCCUGUAUUUGUAUAGUGCUUUACUUACUUUACAGUACUAGUCACACACAGGUGUGUGUGUGCACAGACAAACCUCUGCUGACAGGAAGUCAUGGCUGCUAUCAGGAAGCUGUCAGACUAUAAUCUCCAUGACUGUGACAGCACGGUGGUGGAGUGGGCGGAGCUAGUGUCUGGAUUCCUGCAUCAGGAUUGGUCUCUUUGGAAGCACCAACUAAGGAACCUUCACGUCAUCCAGCAGCAGUCCUGAAAAAUGGCCACCAUCUUGGAUUUUCAUGUGGCUAAUCAGACAAAAGUAAAGCAUGUCAAAGGUUCACGCCGCUGCUCGUGUCACGUGUCGCACGAUUCGGUUUGACGCGAUCUCCUCCAAGAUUGCGCUGUGCGAGUGCGCCCCCUAUUGGUCAUGUCCCAGACCUCCUCACAUCAGCUCUGGUCGUUGGGUCCAGCACAGAGAAGGUCGUGGCACUGACAUCCACCUACAACAAACAGCCAAUGAGUCCGAAACCUGCAAGUCAUAAUGUUAGCGCUGCCGUAAUCACCUGAACUCAUCAUCACACCUGCUCAUACCGAUGCCCUGUGUCCUUCAGAGCAGUGCAUGCUGGGAUGCAGAGAGACAUUCAGACUAAACACUUGUGACAUGUGACAUCACUUCCUGCUGAUUAAUGCCUGCCCUUUCUAACAGGAAGUGUUCUGCUCCAGUCUGCAGCUGUACGUGCUGAAUGAGACAGUCCUGGGCGUGGUCAGAGGCAGGAAGUGGACCGACGUGGUUCAGGAGGCUUACCAGGACUUCCUGGGUCACAUGACGCACCUGUCCAACCUCAGGUGCAACCCCGCCGACCCCGAGGACCAGCUGGGUUCGGCCUGCUAUCGUGAGGUGCUUCCUGCAUCGCUGUGACUCCUCCCCUUCAGAGCUUUCAGCUCCACCUGGAUCAGUUCCAGCUGCAGGUGUCUGACCUGGACUGGCGGCUGGUGUCUGUGCUUAGCCAGGCCCCGGAGGACUGCGGGGAGCCGCUGUCCACGGUAAAGGACUGCUCCAGUCUGAUCUGGUUCUGUGUUGCAGCUGGUGAACAUGUUUGGUUUUGUCCUGGACCGCCCCCUGAUCCAGCACCACCUGCGCCCUCACCUGGCGUGGCUGGUGAAGCUGGUUCUAAUAGAUCUGGAUCAGACCAAGCUGCUGUUCUACCGUCAGAGGAAGGAGGCGGAGACAGCAGAGUCAGCCCAACCGCCGCUGCCCAACUCAGCUGGACUCAGCAGCUCCGCCUCCGAGCCCUGUGUGCCAUGGAGGGCUACCGCACCUGUAAGGCUGACACACAGACUCACACGCACACAGCACACUCAGGCUCCUCCUCCUCCUUCCUGUGUUUGGUGUAAACCUUACAGCUGUUAUUAAAAGAUGGAAAGGUUGGGCUCUCCAGGAUAGUAGAGUUUGUGACUUAGAUGCUGACUGCUGGUGACCUUUGGAUGAACUCUGCAUUUGUCCUGGCCGCUGGACUCGGCAGGUAACAGCUGUGUCCUGUUCAGGUGUGCUGACUCAGGUGAGUCCCGGCUGGUCCAGCAAAGGUCUGAGGAGCUCAUGGACCUUCUGUAGGACUUCAGAGACACCGUGAGGUCAGAGUGGAGCUGUGAGCUGGAUUCAGGCGCCAAAUUCAUCCUCGCUGAGUUCGAGCUCGGCUGCAGCCUCAAGGUGGUGCUUGGCAUCCUGCAGGCGGAGCUUCCUCUGAUCCAGGACCAGCUGAACCACCUGAACCUGACCCUGUCAGAGCUGGAGAGGAACACCUGGAGCAUCACAGGUGACAUAUAUCACAUGAUAUCAUAGGCACAAAAACAUGGUGGA
Long non-coding RNA from Haplochromis burtoni (Burton's mouthbrooder), 3845 nucleotides. RefSeq lists it as uncharacterized. NCBI's taxonomy places the organism in Eukaryota, Metazoa, Chordata, Actinopteri, Cichliformes, Cichlidae. The transcript is spliced from 3 exons. The record is from RefSeq and is a predicted model, not a curated record.